UUUGUCCAGGCUGAUGUCGCUGAGUUUUUUUUUUUCACAACUCAUUCUCUGAAAGUCUUCCCUCCCUGUGUCAUUGUCUUGCACUUUCACAUGGGAGCCAGUGAUCCUUCACUCUUCCCAGUGAUCCCUCACUCUUCCCAGUGGUCUCCCCUUCCCAAUGAUCCCUCACUCUUCCCAGUGAUCCCUCACUCUUCCCAGUGGUCCCUCACUCUUCCCAGUGAUCCCUCACUCUUCCCAGUGAUCCCUCACUCUUCCCAGUGCACUGACCUGCAUCCCUCUACACCCAUUACUAUCUCCACAGCUAAUCACACAUGGAGAGCCAAUUGAUUCACUAAACCCUUUCAGGGAUUUCCGUUUGCGUCAGAGUGCACAAAUUGAACGUGAACGUGUGCGCACAAUAUGUGUGGUAUGUAUCGAUCUAUGCGAUAGAUCUUAAGGCCAUAUAUACUGUACAUUUAAUAUCUAUUCAUGCGACAUCUUCUUUUUAUCAGGCACAGGGGCAAUCAUCAUAUUAAUAACCAUUUACAACUGUUGCAAGACACAAGUGAUGCACCUUUUAAAGAGAUGCUGUGUGUGUGUGUAGUAAGGCGGUGAGCGAGUUAGCAGCGUGUGUGGGCGAGCAUGUUUAGGAGGGACGGGGAGGGAUAGGGUGGGAGUGGGCGGAAGUGACAAGAGUUGAGAACGAGAGAAGGAGACUGGCAUUGCGAACAAGGGCUGAAAGGCAAUCGGCUCUCGCAGCCGUGAUUCAUCGCGAGUGCGAUUGUCUGGAUACAGAGCGGUGUAAUAACUAUUGUGAGCACCAAUUAUGCGAUAUUGAUGUCUGUCACUAUUUUCCGACAAUAUGUUUCAACAAUAUUCUGUUUUCUGAUAUGAUUCAACAUCUGAUUUGAUUACACAUCAGUGGAUGAAUGAAUACAUAUGGGCUAUCUUUUUAAUCGGCGGAUGUUUAAAAUAUGUAUGAUGUAGACAAAAAUAAUGUCGAAUUGAAUUACCAAACAAUUAAGUAAACCCUCAUGUUAUGUCUUAAACAUUUCCAGCGUACUAAUUAGUGGACCUACUGCAAACUGAACACAAAUGUGGCCCACAGCAAUGUGAAAAUUCCUUGAAAAUAUUGGCAUCUGUACAUAUCACGCACAUUUCGCCAUUACGCGCAUUGUCUUUAAGAUCGAUAUUGCGUACUGUAUACUGAAUUCCCUCCAAUGAUUUAUAUAUAAAUGAUUUAUCAAAAGGAAUACUCAACACAUCACUCAGUAAAUCAUCCUUGGGCAUUAUUGCGCUUGAGUCGUGAGCUUCUUUACGCAUUUUGUUAUGCUCUCUGGCUCCACACGGAACCCUGGCGUCCUCCCGUUGCAUUUCCUCAGUGACGUAGUGCCGUAGUGACGUAGACGUCCACGUACAAGCCCAAUGUAGGUGAUGUUUUUCAAUGAAUGAGUCCCCCCUCCCUCACCCAUUACUACUACGGGCAUGUCUAUAAAAAGCCAACGAUGGGAGAGCCCGCUAAAUUUCACUAGUGUAUAUGAUACGAAGGGUGUCAGAGGAUAAAACAGAAGGGACAAUUCUGAUAGCAGUAGCCUAGAUAGUAGACGAUUAGUAGGCUACUUGGUUAGCCUCUUUCUCAUAAAUAUUUCUAGCAUGAUGUAGGAGUCAGGCUUAACUUCAAUAUUUACUGACGAGUCUUGCGACUGGUGACAAAUAAUGACAAGAGGUGUUGAACUGGACAUUGCUUUAAAUCAGGUAAAUGCACUGAUGAGAGAGAUUGCUAUGAGAGCACUACUUACAUCUUUAAGGACAGUGCAUCAACACCUUGGCUCUAGACUGCUUACUGGUAUGACUCGGUGAAAGUACAGUAACAGUCUACAGUCAUGGCUACUGAUGUCUGUCAAGCCUCUACAAGCCCAGAACGCAGCGUGGGAAGGCCUGCGGAGCAGUUGUGUCCACGUGCGCUCGCUCGCAUCUCCGGUGCUUUGAGGGUCAGAUAAAAGAAGCAAACAACUGAGAAGGAACAGCGAUGACUCUCCAGGAAACCACUGCAUUGGCGUACAUGCAAGCUCAACGACGGCUCAGCCAAUCAGAUCGCCUCUUCCACAGUUUCCACGGCGAACCCCCAUUUUUUCCCCCUGCUGCUGUCGCCAUGGCUACCGUGGCUUUAGAUUGUUACUGUAGCAACGACACCAUUGGUAACAGUCUACAGCCAUGGUCGCUAAGGGGCAGACAUCACAGUGAUGGAGCUAUUCUAUAUUAGUUUUAGAAAAUAGAAUAUAUAAGCCUUUAUUGUCAUUUUAUUUGCAUACAACGAAAUUUGGAUUCAAAAUUUUGCUGGCAUUGUUCUUUUUUUCUGCUUUGUUCGAAACUCUGUAUGUUAUAUGUAGUGAAAGUUCUAAAUGCAACAGUACAGGUGUGUCAUUCUUGAAGUAACAUGCACACAAUGAGAAGGAAAUUGUUAAUAGCCUGCUUUACUGGUUGCUCUUGGUUAGAACUCAGGUGCCGCUAUGGUGCUGUAGCCAUUUAAUUAAUCUGCUUUUUAAAGCUACAAGAAACAAGUUGGUAAAUAUGAUAGGUAAUAAAGAGAAAGGCUCUUCUAUGCUCUGUGGCAGCGCACAGCAGAGCCUUCAGAAUCACAUUGAAAAUGCUGCCACAGAUGACCAGAGGCACACAGAGCCUGUGAUGGGUUCAUCCACUCAUAACUCAUUUUACAUGUUGACUUACCAGAUAGAGACUCACUGAUAGGUUAAUGGGUCAGCUGUCCAUUUCUUACAGGACAGACAACUCCCACAGAGGGCUGUGUUAUUCCACAGUUUCAUUCCAUUCUGAGGACCAGUGUGCAAAACACACAUUCUGUUGGACAUCAGAGCUUAGCUGCUGAUCUUCACAGCAGAACAGUGAGAAAGGGUCAGGAAGAGAAGAGGGACUCAGUGAAGCACCACAGGUUGUCCAACAGGGCCAAAUCCUCUGCAUAAGAGAAAAAGGUCAAUCUGUCAGCGUGUUCGACCACACUUCACAGGGUACUGUCCACUCAGGUGUGUCGUGGUCCAGUUAGACAUAAGAUACAAUUAAAUAAAGAGAUGAAAGAAAUGUUUGUUUGUUUUUUUAAUAAAACAAAAACAAAACAAAAACAACCUCAUUGAUGAGACACAUAUGAUGUGAUUCAUACCUUCAAUGUAAAACUUCAGCACAACUAAUAAAAAAAGUAAGCACAAA
Long non-coding RNA from Clupea harengus (Atlantic herring), 3198 nucleotides. RefSeq lists it as uncharacterized. The record is from RefSeq and is a predicted model, not a curated record. The transcript is spliced from 2 exons. Lineage: Eukaryota; Metazoa; Chordata; Actinopteri; Clupeiformes; Clupeidae.